UAAAUUGAGAGUUUGAUCCUGGCUCAGGAUGAACGCUGGCGGCGUGCUUAACACAUGCAAGUCGAGCGAUGAAGUUUCCUUCGGGAAACGGAUUAGCGGCGGACGGGUGAGUAACACGUGGGUAACCUGCCUCAUAGAGUGGAAUAGCCU
RNAcentral lists this ribosomal RNA (150 nucleotides) under Clostridium perfringens. RNAcentral's name for it is "partial 16S ribosomal RNA". It matches the Rfam family "Bacterial small subunit ribosomal RNA", at positions 1 to 149 of the family's 1533-position model. Lineage: Bacteria; Bacillati; Bacillota; Clostridia; Eubacteriales; Clostridiaceae. The record is from RNAcentral.